UGUUUCUGCUAUCCCACAGGAUUGGUACAUCAUAAUAAUUGAUAUUCGAGAUUGUUUUUUCAGCAUCCCUCUUGCCCUGGAAGACCGGAAAAGGUUUGCCUUUACCCUACCUGCAAUCAAUUUGGAGGAGCCAGCAACACGCUGGCAAUGGACAGUCCUGCCACAAGGACUGGAUUGUCGGACACCCUCGCAACCCGUACGUCCCAGUGACGAAUGAAGAUGACAAGGAAGAGGAUCAGACCUGAUGCUUCUACAGCAAGGGGGAGUGUGCGCUGCACUAGAGGAAGGGUGUUGUGUAUAUGCAGACCACACCAGAAUAGUAAAAGACACUAUGACCAAAUUGCAGAAAGGUCUGGAAAAAACGAAGGAGGGAACGAGAGGCACAGCAAAGUUGGUUUACGUCAUGGUUCAACCAUUCACCAUGGCUGACCACUCUGAUAUCUACCUAAUGGGACCAAUCACAAUGAUUGUAAUAGCAGUGAUUUUGGGA
Molecule: long non-coding RNA, 490 nt
Organism: Strigops habroptila (Kakapo)
Lineage: Eukaryota; Metazoa; Chordata; Aves; Psittaciformes; Psittacidae
Exons: 2
Source: RefSeq, a predicted model, not a curated record